GCCCAUGUAGCUCAGUCGGUAGAGCACUUCCAUGGUAAGGAAGUGGUCAUCGGUUCAAUUCCGAUCAUGGGCU
RNAcentral lists this transfer RNA (73 nucleotides) under Spirochaetes bacterium GWB1_36_13. RNAcentral's name for it is "tRNA-Thr". It matches the Rfam family "tRNA". Rfam says of the family: Transfer RNA (tRNA) molecules are approximately 80 nucleotides in length. Their secondary structure includes four short double-helical elements and three loops (D, anti-codon, and T loops). RNAcentral also lists the same sequence under 1 other name. The record is from RNAcentral. Lineage: Bacteria; Pseudomonadati; Spirochaetota.